Molecule: ribosomal RNA, 332 nt
Filed under: uncultured bacterium
Lineage: Bacteria
Description: bacterial SSU rRNA
Rfam family: Bacterial small subunit ribosomal RNA
Source: RNAcentral
CACGCAGGCGGUUCUGCGCGUUUCGAGUGACAGCGGGUGGCUUAACUGCCCGAGUAUUCGAAAGACGGCAGGACUUGAGGACCAGAGAGGGACACGGAAUUCCGGGUGGAGUGGUGAAAUGCGUAGAGAUCCGGAGGAACACCGAGGGCGAAGGCAGUGUCCUGGCUGGUAACUGACGCUGAGGUGCGAAAGCCAAGGGAGCGAACGGGAUUAGAUACCCCGGUAGUCCUGGCCGUAAACGAUGACCACCAGGUGUGGGAGGGAUCGACCCCUUCCGUGCCGGAGUUAACACACUAAGUGGUCCGCCUGGGGAGUACGGUCGCAAGAUUAAA